Molecule: ribosomal RNA, 603 nt
Filed under: Triticum aestivum (bread wheat)
Lineage: Eukaryota; Viridiplantae; Streptophyta; Magnoliopsida; Poales; Poaceae
Description: partial small subunit ribosomal RNA
Source: RNAcentral
AUGCCCUCCCACCCGAUUCCACACCCACGGGAGACCGCCCGCCGCCGCGGAGGGCCACGCCGGCGAUCUCCCCUCAGCCCACAUGCCUCCUCUUUCCUCUCCAUUCUCCUUCUCUCUCCGCCCCUUGUUCAUCCGCGACGGCCUGGGCUCACCAUGAUCCAUGGCCCUCUCCUUCUGCCAGCAUCAGUACAUCGCGGGUCGUCCGUGGCGCUCGACCUCCUCGUUCCGCGCCGCCCAUACUGCACUACACACGCGCGCCUCCUGAUCCAUGGCCGCCUUUUGCCCAGCCGCAGGAUCGAUGUUGGGUGCCAUGACCAGCCUCUUGCGCAGCUCGUCCAUGACGUUGGGGCUUCUGUAGAGAAGAAACGAGGGAGGGAGAUGAGCAGAGAGGGGAGGAGGAUAAACAGAGGAAGGAGGGGGAGAACAAGGGAAGAAAAGAGCAGAGAGAAGGGGCGGCGCCGCUCCGGUGAGCUGCAGCUGGGGUCCUCGGUGGCUGCCUACUGCGUGGUUGUGUCGUUGAAGCUCACAUGCUGGAAUGUUUAUGCACAACUGAAGUUGGCACAUUCAGUUCUGCAUAUAUCGAACAGCCUUCAAAACUUCUGA